GCCCGAUUUUAUCACCUGCUGGAGGAACUCGUCCUCCUCAAGGGCCACAUCACGACGGGGGAUAUGGCUCCAAUCACUGAUCGAUGUUAGUGAAUCGGUUGCCGAGAGACCACAGGAAGAAUUGUCGUCAAUCUCGGCAUUGACGCUACCGCUAUUGGUAUCUUGGAUUGAGGUCUCUUGAUUAUUCUGUAUUAAUGCUAGGCGGACAGUCAGCAACAUUAGCAUCUGCAGAUGCCCCGAGAUAUGUAGUGCCAUAAUCUUAGAAGAGUUAGAACCGAGCGAGAUGUCAUCGUCAUCUUCAGGCCUUUCAUCGCUUAAGCUAUGAGGUUUGGGAUUACUCAUUGCUAAAUUGGUUCGAGCCGAUUUGCUCUUCAUCUCACGAGGCGGCCUUUUCCGACGCUUUCCAGAAUAUAGAUGUCUAGGUGGGGCCGUUUGCUCAAGUUUGUAACCACAUAAAAGGCAUUCAUCUUGUGCUCUUGGCAGUUCUUCAGAACUGCAGCGAGAAAUUGUUUUAAGUAUUUCAACAGGAUAGACAUCGGUAUGGUACUUGAGCAAAUGAACGAGAAGGUGUUGUGAACUGAUGAACUUUCCUCCGUCGCGGAAGCAGUCAGGACACGUCCAGGACGUCACUGUGUAAAUUUUUUUGUGCCAAUUUUCUUCAUGGCACUGCAUGUGAUUAAACCAAUCAGCAAAUUCAGCGAACUGAGCGUGAGACUCAAUGCAUUCCUCUUCUAUGCACGGAUAUGGCAUA
RNAcentral lists this small RNA (751 nucleotides) under Histoplasma capsulatum. RNAcentral's name for it is "hypothetical RNA". RNAcentral also lists the same sequence under 1 other name. Lineage: Eukaryota; Fungi; Ascomycota; Eurotiomycetes; Onygenales; Ajellomycetaceae. The record is from RNAcentral.